UUGCCUGUUGGCCUGCUCCUUGCUAUCUGAAGUAUAUAUUUUUUGUCUAUCGCUCAUUCGCUAUCUGAAGAAUUUUAUGAAGGUAAUUUUAGUGUGUGUUUAGCUUUCAGUUUUUGCUUCUACUUCACAGAGUGGAAGAUCGUAAGAAAACAUUGGAUGAUCUUUAACAAUUAUUCUUAGAAGUAAACCUGAGCAGUAUUUGAUGAUAUAUUGUGAGUCACUGAAAAUGUAUACUGUUUUUUCUUCAGGAUAUGGAUGACUAUCUCAAGGGAUGCAGGUUUCUUCCCAAACUUAAGAAUGAGAUACCUGGUGAAACAAAUGCUCCCUAGUCCCUACAGGGAAAGGUUGAGCAGCCUAGAGAAUUUAGUACUGAUCAUGGUAAGGCCGACAAAGCCUGAAAUCUCAUUUUGAUCCACGUUCAAAGAUUACAUGCUAGCAUAUAUACUUGAAGUUGGCAUGGAAUAUCAAAAUUAAAAAUAGACUUCACCUAUUCCCUGUUUUGAAGAGCAGUGGGAAUCAAUUUUCUGAUGUCCUUUGUUGGCGAUUUCCCUAUCCAUGAAAUGAUAAAUUUUGAACAGAUGUUAACUGUCAAAUAUUUCAAGCAUAUAUAGCUCAAAUACACUAGUAUUUCUUGAAUGCACCAAAACAAGAAGAUAGCAUGAACACGUACAGCUAGGGUAUGCAUUUAGUAGGUGUUUUUCCGUUUUGAAGAUUCAUAAUAGACUAAAAGAGACAGAUAAUUGAAGAAAAUACCCUACUGGAUCUGCACGAGCGCGCGAACUAACAAGUUUUCACUUUCUCGACUGGGUGCAGGGUGAUCGACGAGGACUACUGCGGCCCGAUGGG
RNAcentral lists this long non-coding RNA (846 nucleotides) under Triticum aestivum (bread wheat). RNAcentral describes it as "long non-coding RNA (TAES_LNC024326)". Lineage: Eukaryota; Viridiplantae; Streptophyta; Magnoliopsida; Poales; Poaceae. The record is from RNAcentral.